Molecule: long non-coding RNA, 904 nt
Organism: Episyrphus balteatus (marmalade hoverfly)
Lineage: Eukaryota; Metazoa; Arthropoda; Insecta; Diptera; Syrphidae
Exons: 5
Source: RefSeq, a predicted model, not a curated record
CAUCCAACUCGACCCUCAUGUAACCAUAUAAAGUACGAAGUCUGAACCAUUGUUGAUCGGUGUCAGUCCAUAGACUAUAAUUUAUUAAACAUCAAAUUCGAACAUGGCACAUUCAACAUGGCAGGUUCUUUCAACAAUUUCUAAUUGGAGUACUCAUCCAGGGAUUCGUCACAAGCAGGUUUCUUGCCUCGAUUGGAGGCAGUUCCCCAGGCGUCCGCAACAAAAUUUGCUACUUAUUGGGAUAUAUUCCCAAUAAGGAGUAAAAAUAAACGAAGUGAAGUCGGUCGCCUGGAACAUAAAAAAAAACUUGUGGAUGGUUAUGCUCUAGGCGGUCGCAGAAAAAACUACGAUACUUCCUAUACCGGGAUGCAACGCAGGUAAAGCAUCAUAAAGUGUGACGUUCAGCAUCAACGAAAGGUAAAUACUAUCCGCCAUGGUGUCCAAGUUGGGAUAGUAAAUAAAUUAAAGAACAAAUAAGAACCGAAAAAACUACAAAACAAAACAAAACGGAUAUACCAAAAACAACAGAAAAAUGGGUAUGGAUCAUCGACAUAAACAGGACCAUAAAAGUGAGUGACUACUGAGUCAUUUACAUUCAUUCAAUUCGGGUACGUACAUCAUUUUGUCUUAUUUUAAGUUGCAAUUGUGGAUUUAAAGUUUUGUUUCUUUUCAUUAUUUUUUUUUAUGCGCUGUGGGGAAAAACCCACGAUUGAAGCCGGGCACAAAAAAAAAAAGGUGUCUAGGUAUCGUCUAUUUUAUUACAACAACCACCGACGCCGCUUCAGUGAAGAUUGCCUCUAUUGCUGGAAGUUAAUGGGCUUUACCCAGAUGAAACCCAUCAGAGUUGCGUUACAAAAACAUUUUUCAACGAAUUUUUCGACAAAAAUAACUGGUGAGCAUUUUA